Molecule: RNA transcript, 1378 nt
Organism: Clarias gariepinus (North African catfish)
Lineage: Eukaryota; Metazoa; Chordata; Actinopteri; Siluriformes; Clariidae
Exons: 2
Source: RefSeq, a predicted model, not a curated record
UGCUUUCAUUGUUUACAUGUGCAGUGUGACAUUAUACAUAGGCAUUUCAGUUAUAACUUACAACUUAGAUGGUAAAAUAUAUAUAACUUGCUAAAACCUACUUUCACUUCAGUUUCCUGUGUGUGAGGGUAAUUUGAAAGGGAAAUUGAAGUACAGUCGUAACCACACCCCUCUGUGUAAUCCUACUGGGUUUUUUUCCCCACCGUUUAGGAUCAUGUGACCUGAUGGAAACAUAGUUUCGUUUUCCUUUCCUCUCUUAUCCUGAGGUUGGACAAGAUGUUUUUAUUAGGAGUAGAGGAUCUCAGUGAGCUGAUCAGAGCACAAGUGAGAGGAGGAACAUGGCAGAGAAUCAGCAGAGAGACAUCAACCGGAUCAGGGACAUGUAUGAGGGAGUUGAUCGUGAUAAAAUGAAUAGAACCCAGAGAGAAGCACACAGACAGAGAAAUCUCCAAGAUAAUCCAGACGUUUUCUUUAGAGUGUACCGAGACGGCAGACUUCACCUGGUGAUGUUCAGGCCGUCUGACCCCGGAGUGUGGAUGAGUGUGAUUCGCAGCAGGAUUACAACCAACCUGUAUUUACAGCUGACUAAGAGACGUGCUGUAAAUGACAUCUUCACAAACUGCCUGUCUGGAUCUGAAGAGGAGCUUAAACGUUUCUGUGAAGGUUUUGAACAGAUGUAUGAGGAGGUCAUGAAGAACGUGCAGGAAGUUGAGCAGCUCAGAGAGAGAAUCAGGGAGCAGGAGGAUGAAGUUGAGCAGCUUAGAGAGAGAAUCAGGGAGUUGGAGCUGGAAAAAAAAAAACUUCGGAAGAAAUAGGUGUGUGUUCAGACCAGGCUGUCUUACUGAGGUUCACACCCAAGCCCCUGUGUUUCGCUGAUCUCUUUUCAUCACUGCUGUGUGAGUGGAUAAAGCUGUUAUCCUCAUAUCACACCAUGUCUCACACACACACACACACACACACCCACACCCACACACACACACACUUACCUCACUAUAGAAGAUGUAGUAUGUGAAGAAAAAAUUGUCUGACAGUUUGUAAGACACAAGACAAUGUUAUGUAUUGUGCUGAUUAUGUUAAAACUAUUUAGAGACAGUAGAGAGCAUCUCAGCUCAUCAUUAUUCACCUUAUAAGGUUAGAACCUGUUAAUUAGUUAACAGGGUUAUGCUGUUGGAACACAAGUCACAGGACCGGGGAAUAAAAGAGUUCUGUUGUACUACGAUGUUGUUCUUAGGCAUUGUUGAUUUGAGUUGACAAGACUUUGUAUUCUUUCAUUUCCUUUGAACCAUUUUGCUUAUUUAUACUCAGUUCCCAUAUAUUGCUUUUCUUUGCUGAAGUUGUAGUUGAUUGCGAUAUAAAACAAUAAAAGGACUACCUCCCA